GCACCACAAGAACGCGUGGAGCAUGUGGCUUAAUUUGACUCAACGCGGGAAAUCUUACCGGGUCCGGACACACUGAGGAUUGACAGGCAAUAUCUUGGCUGUUUAAUAAUAAUAACCGUUUAUUAAUAAACGGUUUAUUAAACAGAUCGAGUGUUAAAUAUGCUAGUCCUUUCAUGAUUAUGUGAUAGGUGGUGCAUGGCCGUUCUUAGUUCGUGGAGUGAUCUGUCUGCUUAAUUGCGUUUCACUAAGGGCCCAUAAAUACAAGGUAUGUUAGCAAUCGUCGCUCUAUGGACCCCUUAUUUCAGUUUAUUAAUAAACUGUUAUAAGCGCGCGUCUUGUUUAAAGAGUUUAAGACACUGCGCAUGCUGUUGGGCUCUGAAAGCAACGAACGUGACCGCAACGUCUUGUUGCCUUAAUCAAGUCGGCUGUUUAAUAAUCUGUUUAAUUAAACAGACAGCAGUCAUUAUAUGGCUUAUCCGAGGCUAUCUAAAACUAGACGAACCGCUGUUUCUUUUCUUAAACCAGAGGAAGGUUGCGGCAAUAACAGGUCUGUGAUG
This 557-nucleotide ribosomal RNA is filed under the name Neogloboquadrina pachyderma. Its description in RNAcentral is "SSU rRNA". It matches the Rfam family "Eukaryotic small subunit ribosomal RNA", at positions 1164 to 1469 of the family's 1831-position model. The record is from RNAcentral. Lineage: Eukaryota; Foraminifera; Rotaliida; Globorotaliidae.